CCUACGGGUGGCUGCAGUGGGGAAUAUUGGACAAUGGGCGAAAGCCUGAUCCAGCCAUGCCGCGUGUGUGAAGAAGGCCUUCGGGUUGUAAAGCACUUUCAGUGGGGAAGAAAGCCUUGGGGCUAAUACCCUCGAGGAAGGACAUCACCCACAGAAGAAGCACCGGCUAACUCCGUGCCAGCAGCCGCGGUAAUACGGAGGGUGCGAGCGUUAAUCGGAAUUACUGGGCGUAAAGCGCGCGUAGGCGGUCUGAUAAGCCGGUUGUGAAAGCCCCGGGCUCAACCUGGGAACGGCAUCCGGAACGGUCAGGCUAGAGUGCAGGAGAGGAAGGUAGAAUUCCCGGUGUAGCGGUGAAAUGCGUAGAGAUCGGGAGGAAUACCAGUGGCGAAGGCGGCCUUCUGGACUGACACUGACGCUGAGGUGCGAAAGCGUGGGUAGCAAACAGGAUUAGAUACCCUAGUAGUC
RNAcentral lists this ribosomal RNA (465 nucleotides) under Vreelandella stevensii. RNAcentral describes it as "partial 16S ribosomal RNA". It matches the Rfam family "Bacterial small subunit ribosomal RNA", at positions 338 to 795 of the family's 1533-position model. The record is from RNAcentral. Lineage: Bacteria; Pseudomonadati; Pseudomonadota; Gammaproteobacteria; Oceanospirillales; Halomonadaceae.